GAUGAACGCUGGCGGCGUGCCUAAUACAUGCAAGUCGAGCGAACAGACGAGGAGCUUGCUCCUCUGACGUUAGCGGCGGACGGGUGAGUAACACGUGGAUAACCUACCUAUAAGACUGGGAUAACUUCGGGAAACCGGCGCUAAUACCGGAUAAUAUAUUGAACCGCAUGGUUCAAUAGUGAAAGACGGUUUUGCUGUCACUUAUAGAUGGAUCCGCGCCGCAUUAGCUAGUUGGUAAGGUAACGGCUUACCAAGGCGACGAUGCGUAGCCGACCUGAGAGGGUGAUCGGCCACACUGGAACUGAGACACGGUCCAGACUCCUACGGGAGGCAGCAGUAGGGAAUCUUACGCAAUGGGCGAAAGCCUGACGGAGCAACGCCGCGUGAGUGAUGAAGGUCUUCGGAUCGUAAAACUCUGUUAUUAGGGAAGAACAAAUGUGUAAGUAACUAUGCACGUCUUGACGGUACCUAAUCAGAAAGCCACGGCUAACUACGUG
This 497-nucleotide ribosomal RNA is filed under the name uncultured bacterium. RNAcentral describes it as "partial 16S ribosomal RNA". It matches the Rfam family "Bacterial small subunit ribosomal RNA", at positions 28 to 507 of the family's 1533-position model. The record is from RNAcentral.